Gossypium arboreum is the source of this 703-nucleotide long non-coding RNA. RefSeq lists it as uncharacterized. The record is from RefSeq and is a predicted model, not a curated record. The transcript has 2 exons. Lineage: Eukaryota; Viridiplantae; Streptophyta; Magnoliopsida; Malvales; Malvaceae.
GGACGACAGGAAUAUAACUAGCCAAAGCGGUACAAACAAGAAGAUAAGCAGGCAAAGUUUCUAUUUUACUAUUUAGCUAAUUAUGCAACAAUGUGUUCGAUUACAUCAAAGCAAACGUUUCAUUUUAAAGACCAAAAAAGGAGAAGGAUAAAGAGAUGUGAAGCAAUAUCAAAUAUCAGUACAAGAUUUAAAAAUCUUGCCAGCAAAGAAAUUCCUAAAGAAUGUGUUACAGGGUGGAUUGCAGGCAAUGUGGAAAGUACACUUGGGGUGGUUGUGGGAAACAUCUAUCCACACUCUAUGCCAGCAUAGAUGUGGGAAAACACUGCAUGUGCCGAUCAUGGCCUGGCGUUGUCAUACCAUCCACAACUAAUGCGACAAACAACAACAAUAAUAAGCAACCUGCAACCCCAGUUUCAGGUAACCAGCAAUCUUCAUAAAUGCUGUGGAUGCAUGCCAGAUGUCAGAGGGUGCUGCCUUAAGAGUAAUGAUAGGGCUAAUAUAUGAAGAAAUUAAGCAGAGGAAUAAAGAAAGGGGUUGGUUAUUUUAGACUGGUUUUCCCACAAACACUGUCAAUUCUCGUUGAUAAUCGUCAAUGACGAAUCUGUCUUUCCACGUGUAUGAAUUAUUGAACUAUUAUACGAAAUCUUGUAGUCUCUUCAUUUAUAUAAUAAAAUCGUACAUGCCAUCGAGGCCUAUUAGCUCA